Aedes aegypti (yellow fever mosquito) is the source of this 2498-nucleotide RNA transcript. It is a transcript of the gene named innexin inx2, with no coding region annotated. The transcript is spliced from 3 exons. Lineage: Eukaryota; Metazoa; Arthropoda; Insecta; Diptera; Culicidae. The record is from RefSeq and is a predicted model, not a curated record.
GAACAACUUAAGAAUUACUACCAUUAAUAAACCGUCACAUGGAUAGGACGUUCAACAUUCAUAUGCUCAAAUUGUAUACCUGUAUAUGGCUUUUCUUGAAUUACACACAGACACAAUGAUUGAGCUAACAGCAGUCAGGUAGUACAGUUGCCUCUGGUACUCUCGACCGUUCACACUGGUUGGCGGAGAAACGAUCUUUGUCUCCCUGAUUGAAAUUCAUUGUAUAUUUUACAUCUGCUGUGCAUAGAACCUAGAAAAAUCGUGGCAAUAAUAAAAGUGACCGUCAGCCGAUUUGGCGUUUGAAAAGUGUGGCGUGGUGCAAUAAGAUCGAGCGAAAUAUAGAUCAAAUUAAGUACAACUGGAUUCUAUACAUCAGAUAAUCAUCCACCAUGUUUGAUGUAUUUGGCUCCGUUAAGGGGCUUCUCAAACUUGAUCAAGUAUGCAUCGACAAUAAUAUAUUUCGUCUGCAUUACAAAGCCACUGUGGUAAUCCUGAUAGCCUUUUCGCUAUUAGUCACCUCGAGACAAUAUAUUGGAGAUCCUAUCGACUGCAUUGUGGACGAAAUACCUUUAAAUGUGAUGGACACAUACUGCUGGAUUUAUUCAACUUUCACCAUUCCAAAUCGCUUGACCGGAAUAGCUGGCAAAGAUAUUGCUCAGCCGGGAGUAUCGAGUCACGUCGACGGCCAUGAUGAAGUGAAGUACCAUAAAUACUAUCAAUGGGUCUGCUUCGUGUUAUUCUUCCAAGCCAUGUUAUUCUACGUUCCUCGCUAUCUCUGGAAGACAUGGGAAGCAGGCAGAAUCAAGAUGUUGGUUCUUGAUCUCAACAUGCCAGUUGUAAAUGAUGAAUGCAAGGAUGAGCGUAAAAAAAUUCUAGUAGAUUACUUUGUAGAAAACAUCAAUCGACAUAACUUCUAUGCAAUUCGAUUUUUUAUAUGUGAAGUUUUGAAUUUUGUGAACGUACUUGGACAAAUUUACUUUAUGGAUUUCUUCCUCGAUGGAGAAUUUUCUACAUAUGGUAGCGAUGUUGUGCGUUUCACUGAAAUGGAACCAGAAGAGAGAGGAGAUCCUAUGGCACGAGUGUUUCCUAAAGUUACAAAAUGUACGUUCCAUAAAUAUGGUCCGUCUGGAAGCGUUCAGAAGUUUGAUGGACUCUGUGUGCUACCGUUGAAUAUCGUAAAUGAAAAAAUUUAUGUGUUUUUGUGGUUCUGGUUUAUCAUUUUAACCAUUCUAACUGGUGCAUCAUUGGUCUACCGUUUUGCUGUUGUGUUCAUGCCAAAAGUAAGACUUUACUUAUUGCGAGCAAGAUCACGCCUGUCAGAACACGAUGAAGUUGAAAUGAUCUCAUCAAAAUGCCAAUUGGGAGAUUGGUUUAUCCUUUACCAGCUGGGAAAAAAUAUUGAUCCUUUAAUUUAUAAAGAGAUCAUUAGUGACCUCUCUCUCAAAUUUGAGGGCAAAGAAAUGGUUUAAAUCCAAUAUUAGUAUUCUAUAAAAAUGGUAUGUGAAGCGGAUAGCAAGAAGAGAAUCAUCGAUCGCGGUUCCACCCUGCCCAGUUAAAAUGUUGAUAAAAACUAACACGACGAACAAAGCUGUUGGAAACAUAGUCUGAUGAUCAUCAAAAAUGGACCAUUUCGACUUAUUAAUAGCAUUAGAACGACUGAUUCAACACUCAAUACGACAAUUAGUGAUAAAAAGCCUUAUAAUGAAAUCACGAUCGUGAAUUGACAGUUUGCGACAAUCAACAUAAUAUCAAAUAAAAACAAUGUUUUCAAAUAUUUAGACAUUCCAAUCCCUAAGUUCAACUAGAAUAUACUCUCUAUCCAUUUUGAUAUGUUAUAACUGAUAAUUUUGAAACAAAAUCUGCCAUAAUAAUGAGUAUCAGAUCAGAAACAGGAACAAAUGAUUUCUUUCCCUUUUUAUUGCCGCAAGUUCACAACGUCUUUAGUUUAGUCACAAUAAAAAAAACAUAAUUUAAAAGUAAUCUGUAAUAAUUUGGUCGAUAAGGUGUCUUAAUAUGAUUUAGCUGAAAUUUGAUGUAUCACUCAAACAAUAUGGCACAUUCAAUGGGUUAUUGAAAGGUACUCAUUCGGUAUUCAUAGUAUCGAAAAAUGGCUCUACCGUAUAUGGCAUUUAAAAUUAUGACAGCACUACAGAUCUAUCAAAAACUAAAAAGUUGGUUACACUACUUUACAUGUUAUUAGAGCCUUUCUAGUUAUAUAAAUUACCCAUUUAAUUUGAAAUAAUUUUCACCCUGACUACAGUCGAUAUAGCAAAAGUUUCAUUCAAGAGUUAUUUAAAAUCACAUACACAAGCGAUACCGAAAACCCGCGAAAAAAACAUUUUAGCAUCUUAAAAUAAUUUAUACUAGCUAUCUUGAAAAGAAGUGUCAAAUUAACGCAUUCAUGUUCAUUUUUAUAGUGAUUGUAGCAAUAAGAACAAAUUCACAUUUCCAAGCCUUUCAUGGCGUAUGUACCACUGCUGUAAACUUGUGAUUGAUAU